GAUGAACGCUGGCGGCGUGCCUAAUACAUGCAAGUCGAGCGAAUGGAUUGAGAGCUUGCUCUUAUGAAGUUAGCGGCGGACGGGUGAGUAACACGUGGGUAACCUGCCCAUAAGCCUGGGAUAACUCCGGGAAACCGGGGCUAAUACCGGAUAACAUUUUGAACCGCAUAGUUCGAAAUUGAAAGGCGGCUUCGGCUGUCACUUAUGGAUGGACCCGCGUCGCAUUAGCUAGUUGGUGAGGUAACGGCCCACCAAGGCAACGAUGCGUAGCAGACCGGAGAGGGGGGUGGGGCACACGGGGACAGAGACACGGCCCAGACUCCUACGGGAGGCAGCAGUAAGGAAUCUUCCGCAAUGGACGACAGUCUGACGGAGCAACGCCGCGUGAGUGAUGAAGUCUUUCGGGUCGUAAAACUCUGUUGUUAGGGAAGAACAAGUGCUAGUUGAAUAAGCUGGCACCUUGACGGUACCUAACCAGAAAGCCACGGCUAACUACGUGCCAGCCGCCGCAGUAA
RNAcentral lists this ribosomal RNA (515 nucleotides) under uncultured bacterium. RNAcentral's name for it is "partial 16S ribosomal RNA". It matches the Rfam family "Bacterial small subunit ribosomal RNA", at positions 28 to 523 of the family's 1533-position model. The record is from RNAcentral.